AUAUGUGAAGGUGUGGCCUCAUGAAACCACAGCACACUGUUAGGAGCUACCAGCCUGUCACAAGUGGGUGUGAAGGUUGCCUAGAGGAGACUACCAGGAGAUAACACUGAAGGGGUGGAUUAGGAAAGCCCUUGUGCACCAUCUUGAACUUUACCUUGAAUGCAAUGGAGAGCUGUGAAAGGGCUUUAAGCAAGGCCCAGGCCUCACUGAAUCUGUGGUUUAGAAAGAACUCUCUGGUUACAAGAUGGAGCAUGGAUGCAAGCGAGUGAAGGUGAGAGAUGAUGCAGUGGGUCCCCAUCAGUGUUGGAUAUGAUUCCUCAGGUGAGUUCUGACUUAGCUUGUGACUCCACCAAUGACCACAGCUGAGCCUCUACUCAGACGGGCCUUCUCUGUCCUUCAGCCUAAAGAACCAACCUCACCUCAUCAUUUUCCAUCAAGCUGCUAUGAUUUGCUUUCUUAAUAGCACCUGUGGCCACCUGGAAUGGUUUUGUGCAUUUAUUUUCUAUCUUCUCUACAAAGAUGGGAGAAAGAAGGGGCUGGGCUGACUGUCCAGGGCUCUAUCUUCAGCACUCAGAACAGUACUAGGCCACAGCCAAGCCUAACAUAUUUCUUGGGUGAAUACUGUGAGUGGGAUCAGAACACAGGAGGGGCUGAAGAACAGAUGAAUUGGGUCUUCUUCCUGGCUCUCCAUUAACUAGCAGUAUCCACUUGGAAACCCUGCUUUAGUUUUUCUCC
RNAcentral lists this long non-coding RNA (735 nucleotides) under Homo sapiens (human). RNAcentral describes it as "HSALNT0345085". The record is from RNAcentral. Lineage: Eukaryota; Metazoa; Chordata; Mammalia; Primates; Hominidae.